AUGGCAGAUCGUCUACCUGCCUGGCAGUCCAGGCUUCUCUUCCAUGCGGGCAGGUAUGAGCUCCUGCGCACUACUCUGGCCUCCAUGCCAAUUCAUGCUAUGAUGGCGCUCGACUUGCCGGUCAAAACCAUUCCCGCGGCCAACAAGAUUUGCCGUGGAUUUCUAUGGAAGGGGCAUCGCGACGUGCAAGGUGGGCAUUGCCUAGUGGCCUGGUAUCGGGUGUGCAUGCCAAAGGAGUUUGGCGGCCUUGGAGUGCCCAACCUACGGUAGUUGAACGCCGCCCUAUGUGCCAGAUGGCCUUGGCUCAAGAGAACAGAUCCCCACAGACCUUGGGCCGAGUUCAAUAUGCAAGUUUCCCAUGAUUCUUUGGGUAUCUACAAGGCAGCUACUAGGUACACGCUUGGCAACGACGAAAUGACGUGA
This 423-nucleotide ribosomal RNA is filed under the name Triticum aestivum (bread wheat). RNAcentral's name for it is "partial small subunit ribosomal RNA". Lineage: Eukaryota; Viridiplantae; Streptophyta; Magnoliopsida; Poales; Poaceae. The record is from RNAcentral.